Molecule: long non-coding RNA, 224 nt
Filed under: Gossypium barbadense (sea-island cotton)
Lineage: Eukaryota; Viridiplantae; Streptophyta; Magnoliopsida; Malvales; Malvaceae
Description: long non-coding RNA (GBAR_LNC017004)
Source: RNAcentral
UUAUCUUCUCAAUCCAUGGCGAGCAAUCAACCACUGUCAAUUUUCUAAUUAUUAAUGGAACUCCUAAGUACCUUACUAGAAGCAUUCCUCUUUUAAACCCAAUAAGAUUUCAUAUAUGUUGAAGAUCCUCUUCUAAGAUUUUUGAAGAAAAAGUCUCACUCUUGCCAGGAUUAAAUUGUUGGCCUGAGAAGAAAUAAAGCUGUUGCAAGACACAUUGUAUUCCC